This 241-nucleotide long non-coding RNA is filed under the name Mytilus galloprovincialis (Mediterranean mussel). Lineage: Eukaryota; Metazoa; Mollusca; Bivalvia; Mytilida; Mytilidae. The record is from RNAcentral.
UUUGUACUUGUUUGGCUUUACAACUAUUUUGAUCUGAGCGUCACUGAUGAGUCUUAUGUAGACGAAACGCGCGUCUGGCGUAUUAAAUUAUAAUCCUGGUACCUUUGAUAACUAUUUAAACACUGGGUCGAUGCCACUGCUGGUGACGUUUCGUCCCCGAGGGUAUCACCAGCCCAGUAGUCAGCACUUCAGUGUUGACAUGAAUAUCAAUUAUGUGGUCAUUUUUAUAAAUUUUCUGUUA